This is a long non-coding RNA of Zerene cesonia (dogface butterfly), 295 nucleotides long. RefSeq lists it as uncharacterized. Lineage: Eukaryota; Metazoa; Arthropoda; Insecta; Lepidoptera; Pieridae. The transcript has 3 exons. The record is from RefSeq and is a predicted model, not a curated record.
AUUUUAUUUUAUUGGUUUCCAAACAACUUAUACACUAAUACAAGAGCAGCAGUAAUAAUGUACAUCAAAUAUUGUUCUGUGUAUAAAUCUAUUCUAUGGAUACACAAAUUACUAUCUAGUGCGCAAGAUUAACUUAACGAAAAAAUUUUAUCUAAACAGAAAAAAAAAAAGAUUACAACAAAAACAUACAGAAACUAAAUUAUCAGAGAAAAGUGCGGCUUAGGUGCUACGCAGAGCAGCAAGGACUAAGCGACGAAAACUGUCAAGACUAUUGGAAAAUAUAAAUAUACCAAAU